RNAcentral lists this ribosomal RNA (370 nucleotides) under uncultured organism. Its description in RNAcentral is "bacterial SSU rRNA". It matches the Rfam family "Bacterial small subunit ribosomal RNA", at positions 526 to 896 of the family's 1533-position model. The record is from RNAcentral.
CGUAGGGUGCGAGCGUUAAUCGGAAUUACUGGGCGUAAAGCGUGCGCAGGCGGUUUUGUAAGCCAGAUGUGAAUCCCCGGGCUCAACCUGGGAAUGGCAUUUGGGACUGCAAGGCUUGAGUGCGGCAGAGGAGACUGGAAUUCCUGGUGUAGCAGUGAAAUGCGUAGAUAUCAGGAGGAAUACCGAUGGCGAAGGCAGGUCUCUGGGCUGACACUGACGCUCAUGCACGAAAGCGUGGGGAGCAAACAGGAUUAGAUACCCUGGUAGUCCACGCCCUAAACGAUGUCGACUGGUUGUUGGGGGUUUGACACUCUCAGUAACGAAGCUAACGCGUGAAGUCGACCGCCUGGGGAGUACGGCCGCAAGGUUA